GAUGAACGCUGGCGGCGUGCCUAAUACAUGCAAGUCGAACGAAGUGAAGAGGAGCUUGCUCCUUGGAACUUAGUGGCGAACGGGUGAGUAAUACAUAAGCAACCUGCCUCGAUGCCUGGGAUAACAGAGGGAAACUUCUGCUAAUACCGGAUACGUUAAUCUAAGACAUCUUAGAUUAAUUAAAGAUGGGAUACAUCACAACGAGAUGGGCUUAUGGCGCAUUAGUUAGUUGGUAAGGUAACGGCUUACCAAGACGAUGAUGCGUAGCCGACCUGAGAGGGUGACCGGCCACACUGGGACUGAGACACGGCCCAGACUCCUACGGGAGGCAGCAGUAGGGAAUUUUCGGCAAUGGGGGAAACCCUGACCGAGCAACGCCGCGUGAGUGAAGACGGCCUUCGGGUUGUAAAGCUCUGUUGUAAGGGAAGAACGAUAGGAAGAGGGAAUGCUUUCUAUAUGACGGUACCUUACCAGAAAGCCACGGCUAACUACGUGCCAGCAGCCGCGGUAAUACGUAGGUGGCAAGCGUUAUCCGGAACUAUUGGGCGUAAAGGGAGCGCAGGCGGUUUAUCAAGUUUAUGGUUAAAGUUCGGGGCUUAACCCCGUGAUGCCAUAGAAACUGGUAGAUUAGAGUGCAGGAGAGGUUAGUGGAAUUCCAUGUGUAGCGGUAAAAUGCGUAGAUAUAUGGAGGAACACCAGUGGCGAAGGCGGCUAACUGGCCUGUAACUGACGCUGAGGCUCGAAAGCGUGGGGAGCAAAUAGG
RNAcentral lists this ribosomal RNA (763 nucleotides) under uncultured bacterium. RNAcentral's name for it is "bacterial SSU rRNA". It matches the Rfam family "Bacterial small subunit ribosomal RNA", at positions 28 to 776 of the family's 1533-position model. The record is from RNAcentral.